Molecule: non-coding RNA, 101 nt
Organism: Inquilinus limosus MP06
Lineage: Bacteria; Pseudomonadati; Pseudomonadota; Alphaproteobacteria; Rhodospirillales; Rhodospirillaceae
Source: Rfam
GCGGGAGAUCGGCGCGGGCGUGUCCCUCGCCAACCCGGUCAGGUCCGGAAGGAAGCAGCCGUAACGAGUUUCGAUACGGGUCGCCGCCGGUCUCCCACCUU